UGGGCUGUCGUUCAAUGGCAGGACAGCGGAUUCUGACUCCGUUAAUCAAGGUUCAAGUCCUUGCAGCCCAG
RNAcentral lists this transfer RNA (71 nucleotides) under Lawsonia intracellularis PHE/MN1-00. It matches the Rfam family "tRNA". From Rfam's summary of the family: Transfer RNA (tRNA) molecules are approximately 80 nucleotides in length. Their secondary structure includes four short double-helical elements and three loops (D, anti-codon, and T loops). Lineage: Bacteria; Pseudomonadati; Thermodesulfobacteriota; Desulfovibrionia; Desulfovibrionales; Desulfovibrionaceae. The record is from Rfam by way of RNAcentral.